CAGCCGCCACGGUAAUACAGAGGGUGCGAGCGUUAAUCGGAUUUACUGGGCGUAAAGCGUGCGUAGGCGGCUUCUUAAGUCGGAUGUGAAAUCCCUGAGCUUAACUUAGGAAUUGCAUUCGAUACUGGGAAGCUAGAGUAUGGGAGAGGAUGGUAGAAUUCCAGGUGUAGCGGUGAAAUGCGUAGAGAUCUGGAGGAAUACCGAUGGCGAAGGCAGCCAUCUGGCCUAGUACUGACGCUGAGGUACGAAAGCAUGGGGAGCAAACAGGAUUAGAUACCCCGGUAGUCCCUGUCUCUUAUAC
This 301-nucleotide ribosomal RNA is filed under the name uncultured bacterium. Its description in RNAcentral is "partial 16S ribosomal RNA". It matches the Rfam family "Bacterial small subunit ribosomal RNA", at positions 509 to 807 of the family's 1533-position model. The record is from RNAcentral.